CGAAAGCCUGACGGAGCAAGACCGCGUGAGGGAGGAAGGCUCUUGGGUUGUAAACCUCUUUUCUCAGGGAAGAAGCUCUGACGGUACCUGAGGAAUCAGCCUCGGCUAACUCCGUGCCAGCAGCCGCGGUAAUACGGAGGAGGCAAGCGUUAUCCGGAAUGAUUGGGCGUAAAGCGUCCGCAGGUGGCAAUGUAGGUCUGCUGUCAAAACCCAGGGCUCAACUCUGGUCAGGCAGUGGAAACUACAUAGCUAGAGUUCGGUAGGGGCAAAGGGAAUUCCCGGUGUAGCGGUGAAAUGCGUAGAGAUCGGGAAGAACAUCGGUGGCGAAAGCGCUUUGCUAGACCGAAACUGACACUCAGGGACGAAAGCUAGGGGAGCG
This 379-nucleotide ribosomal RNA is filed under the name uncultured cyanobacterium. RNAcentral's name for it is "bacterial SSU rRNA". It matches the Rfam family "Bacterial small subunit ribosomal RNA", at positions 376 to 770 of the family's 1533-position model. Lineage: Bacteria; Bacillati; Cyanobacteriota. The record is from RNAcentral.